GACGAACGCUGGCGGCGUGCUUAACACAUGCAAGUCGAACGAGACGAAUUAGAAGCUUGCUUUUGACGAGUCGAGUGGCAAACGGGUGAGUAACGCGUAGACAACCUGCCGCAAAGAUGGGGACAACAGUCCGAAAGGACUGCUAAUACCGAAUGUUGUGUCACAUUCGCAUGAAUGAGACAUUAAAGAUGGCCUCUACUUGUAAGCUAUCGCUUUGCGAUGGGUCUGCGUCUGAUUAGCUAGUUGGUGGGGCAACGGCCUACCAAGGCGACGAUCAGUAGCCGGUCUGAGAGGAUGAACGGCCACAUUGGAACUGAGACACGGUCCAG
RNAcentral lists this ribosomal RNA (329 nucleotides) under uncultured bacterium. RNAcentral describes it as "bacterial SSU rRNA". It matches the Rfam family "Bacterial small subunit ribosomal RNA", at positions 28 to 334 of the family's 1533-position model. The record is from RNAcentral.